UGGAAGCGGAGCUCACGCCAAUCGAUGACUGUUUACUAGCAUCGGCUAUUGUGGAAAUUCCCGAUUAUGGGAACAUGGUUAUGCCGCUGGUGGCAGAUUUGCUCGUCUUUAAGUCCAGGGAUCAUGUCAAUCGAUCUAGUCGCUUCGCGUCGUUUUUGCAGCUCUGACACGUUUUUAAGGUCGCCAAAGGCCAGUUUUUCUUCUUCGUCAACAUCUUCUGAAAGGAACACCACUUUACGCUAACUAUAGGCCGUAUAAAAGUACACUCGUACUAUUGCAAGCACACUGAGCGUAUCUACCUAAAAUCUAGCCGAGGAACCCAUCCUUCAAUUAAUCACUGAUUAUGAGCAGUCGCAAUCCCCGUAAACAGAAAAGCAUGUGGAUCCUGAACUGGUAAAGGAGACCCGAAAGCGUAUAUCUCUACUGUCUGUGUGUGACAUAUCCUCUAAUGGUGAUUCAUCCGACCAUCGAUAGGCUGGAGCUACACCAGAAUCGAUGCCAUUACCAGACCACGUUCUUCUUAAUGGCAGUGGUCGUUGCAACAGCACAGCGAACUCGUUCUAAUACUUUCGCUGUACAAUAAAUGAAUGAAUCGAUCUCCCAGCUGACGCGUAGCUGUUCAUCUUUGUGCUGCCGUAACUUUUUAGCCCCCGAACG
Molecule: long non-coding RNA, 657 nt
Organism: Varroa destructor (honeybee mite)
Lineage: Eukaryota; Metazoa; Arthropoda; Arachnida; Mesostigmata; Varroidae
Source: RefSeq, a predicted model, not a curated record